GAGUAAGGCUUGAUAUUCAUUCAACAUUAUCUGUCAUCAAUCUGUAUGCUGAAAGGCUUCAAAAAAAGAGUUAGGUUCAAUAGAUAAAGUAGAAGUCUUGGAAGUCAGGAGCAAAGAGGACAUAUCUUGCUUUUGGAUAAGUGAUCUCAUGAGCAUAUGGUGGAUGCGAAUAGGAGACAAUGCAGGAGUGACAGAGAUUAUAAACGAGGGUGAUGGCUUGAUCACAUUAAAGGAACCUAUCCCCACAACUGGAACGAUCUUAGCUAAUCCGAAUGAGGGAUCGAUCUUUUGUUGUGGACCGGUUCAAUUUGGGAG
This 315-nucleotide long non-coding RNA is filed under the name Elaeis guineensis (African oil palm). RNAcentral's name for it is "long non-coding RNA (EGUI_LNC022933)". Lineage: Eukaryota; Viridiplantae; Streptophyta; Magnoliopsida; Arecales; Arecaceae. The record is from RNAcentral.